Actinoplanes sp. N902-109 is the source of this 75-nucleotide non-coding RNA. It matches the Rfam family "ASpks TB sRNA". The record is from Rfam. NCBI's taxonomy places the organism in Bacteria, Bacillati, Actinomycetota, Actinomycetes, Micromonosporales, Micromonosporaceae.
CUUCACCGAGCCCAGCCAGAGCGGCUGAUCCUCGGCCCGGUCCUGCCCGUACGUCGCCAGCAGAGCCUGCGCCUC